CUCGUGGAACGUCAGUUCGGGCGAAAAAAAACUUGAAUUUUGCGGACACGACCACGUGGUCGAAUGUGUGGCCUUUGCGCCAGUAGCUUCGCUUCCGCACAUCUCAACACUUUUUUGUAGUGAAAAUAAAGAGGCCUAUAAACUUAACGGCAGUAUAUUUGCAACCGGUUCCAGAGAUAAGUUAAUAAAGUUGUGGGAGCUUUCUUCUGGCCAUUGCGUAGCCACUUUGACAGGGCAUGAUAACUGGGUGAGAGGAUUAUGCUUUCAUCCACUUGGAAAGCUCCUUUUUUCCGUCGCAGACGAUAAGACAUUGCGCUUGUGGGAUCUUGAAACUGGCAGAAACGUUAAAGCCAUCGUUGCACAUUCCCACUUUGUUACUUCAGUAGAUAUACAUAAGAAAUUUCCAGUGAUAGUCACUGGAAGUGUAGACCUAUCUACUAAAAU
Long non-coding RNA from Zophobas morio, 444 nucleotides. RefSeq lists it as uncharacterized. Lineage: Eukaryota; Metazoa; Arthropoda; Insecta; Coleoptera; Tenebrionidae. The record is from RefSeq and is a predicted model, not a curated record. The transcript is spliced from 4 exons.